UUGAACGCUGGCGGCAUGCUUUACACAUGCAAGUCGAACGGUAACAGGUUAAGCUGACGAGUGGCGAACGGGUGAGUAAUGCAUCGGAACGUGCCCGAUCGUGGGGGAUAACGCAGCGAAAGCUGCGCUAAUACCGCAUACGAUCUGAGGAUGAAAGCGGGGGACCGUAAGGCCUCGCGCGAUCGGAGCGGCCGAUGUCAGAUUAGGUAGUUGGUGGGGUAAAGGCUCACCAAGCCGACGAUCUGUAGCUGGUCUGAGAGGACGACAAGCCACACUGGGACUGAGACACGGCCCAGACUCCUACGGGAGGCAGCAGUGGGGAAUUUUGGACAAUGGGCGCAAGCCUGAUCCAGCAAUGCCGCGUGCAGGAAGAAGGCCUUCGGGUUGUAAACUCCUUUUAUAUGUCAAGAAAAUGACGGUAGCAUAUGAAUAAGCACCGGCUAACUCCGU
RNAcentral lists this ribosomal RNA (450 nucleotides) under uncultured bacterium. RNAcentral's name for it is "bacterial SSU rRNA". It matches the Rfam family "Bacterial small subunit ribosomal RNA", at positions 30 to 506 of the family's 1533-position model. The record is from RNAcentral.